RNAcentral lists this ribosomal RNA (254 nucleotides) under uncultured bacterium. RNAcentral's name for it is "partial 16S ribosomal RNA". It matches the Rfam family "Bacterial small subunit ribosomal RNA", at positions 524 to 776 of the family's 1533-position model. The record is from RNAcentral.
UACGGGGGGAGCAAGCGUUGUUCGGAUUUACUGGGCGUAAAGGGCGCGUAGGCGGCCAGCACAAGUCAGUUGUGAAAUCUCCGAGCUUAACUCGGAAAGGUCAACUGAUACUGUGCGGCUAGAGUGCAGAAGGGGCAACUGGAAUUCUCGGUGUAGCGGUGAAAUGCGUAGAUAUCGAGAGGAACACCUGCGGCGAAGGCGGGUUGCUGGGCUGACACUGACGCUGAGGCGCGAAAGCUAGGGGAGCGAACAGG